Non-coding RNA from Podarcis lilfordi (Lilford's wall lizard), 69 nucleotides. The record is from the annotation of a GenBank genome assembly. NCBI's taxonomy places the organism in Eukaryota, Metazoa, Chordata, Lepidosauria, Squamata, Lacertidae.
GCUGUAGCUCAGUGGUAGAGCAUCGGUUUUGCAUGCAGAGAGUCUUGGGUUCAAUUCUCAGUAUCUCCA